GAUGAACGCUAGCUACAGGCUUAACACAUGCAAGUCGAGGGGUAACGAGAGGAAAGCUUGCUUUCCUUGUCGACGACCGGCGCACGGGUGAGUAACGCGUAUCCAACCUGCCCCCAACUAGGGAAUAACCUUGCGAAAGUAAGACUAAUACCCUAUAAUUUCCUCAGAUGUCAUCUGACGAGGAAUAAAGAUUUAUCGGUUGUGGAUGGGGAUGCGUCUGAUUAGCUUGUUGGCGGGGUAACGGCCCACCAAGGCAACGAUCAGUAGGGGUUCUGAGAGGAAGGUCCCCCACAUUGGAACUGAGACACGGUCCAAACUCCUACGGGAGGCAGCAGUGAGGAAUAUUGGUCAAUGGGCGGAAGCCUGAACCAGCCAAGUAGCGUGCAGGAUGACGGCCCUAUGGGUUGUAAACUGCUUUUAUACAGGAAUAAAGUUAGCCACGUGUGGUUAUUUGUAGGUACUGUAUGAAUAAGGACCGGCUAAUUCCGUGCCAGCCGCCGCCGUAA
RNAcentral lists this ribosomal RNA (506 nucleotides) under uncultured bacterium. RNAcentral describes it as "partial 16S ribosomal RNA". It matches the Rfam family "Bacterial small subunit ribosomal RNA", at positions 28 to 523 of the family's 1533-position model. The record is from RNAcentral.